This 222-nucleotide unclassified non-coding RNA is filed under the name Hevea brasiliensis (rubber tree). Lineage: Eukaryota; Viridiplantae; Streptophyta; Magnoliopsida; Malpighiales; Euphorbiaceae. The record is from RNAcentral.
CUCCGUUAUAAAUAUCCACAUCUAAUGUAUGAAAGACAGCUCAGUUCAAAAUGAAUCCAGACUUAUUUACACUAACCCACUGAUUAAAUAACAGUAAGACCCUAUAUACAAUCACGAUACAAAUCAGUUCCAGUAUAAGAAAGGAACUUACAUUGUUAAAUCAAACAUUUCACCUUUUUAGAUUGGAAAUAUAUCAUUUCUAUCAUCAUCAUCAUCAUCAUC